GUCCUCCUACUGCAGACGAGAGAAGUGAAAGAUUACUGCGUUCGGCUCAUUAAGAAUGUUUUAUUUUGUCUGCAAUUCCCCCCCACCCCCGUCUAUUGUCUCUCCACCCUCUCAGCUCAAGUCUCGGCAGAGUCACAGCCCUGGGAGCACCGCGGCGACGGAAUAAACGCAGAAAAUGAACUGGAAGAAAACAGGGAGGCGAGAAGAACGGUACGGCUGGCCGAUGGUGGCCGAAAACUCAAAGGAGAGGAGGUUACACUGCAUCGCCAGCUUGCCUCAUCUGAAUCCCUGACUCCUGACCUCCCCUGAGGAAGGUGCUCACUGUCAGAAGAACCCCCAGCAUCCUACCGCCACAGAAAGGUGAUUCCUUUAAAGCACCAGAAACGGAUGAAGGAGCGAGAGGGGGCUGCGCGAGGCGGGCAGAUGGGGAGGGGAGCUGUCGCUUGUGUCAGGUUAACCUCAGAGACACAUCCGGAGCUCAGCAUCUGGGAGACGGAGAGGAGAGAGAGGCACCGUCGCUCCAUUUGGCGCAAGUGAGUUUGGCAUUAAGCAUCAUGCAGUGGCUUUCAUCAGCUUCUCUCUCUCUCUCUUUCUUUCUCACCUUCACUCCCUCCCCCAAAAUAAAAAAAGGCUAAAACGCCAAACUUUGUGCACUGUCAGUCCCACGGGCUGUGCUUAUUCCCAGAUUUAUGUUAGUAGCGUUAAGCGUUAAAGAUAGAGAGGAAGAGAGAGAGCUUUGCAUGCGGAGAGGAAGGAGAUGAUACUGAUGUUUGUGCAGCACAUGUGUUAAGUCACUCACACACACACACCACAAUAACACCUGAAAUCGCGGCAGCUGGUGCUGUUAAACAUGCAUUGUCUUGUUCCAGUUUCACCUCUGCAGCAACAGAUAGCAACAAAAGUCCUAUAGAGGUCUUUAAGGUGUAACAGCUGUUGGUCAUUAUAUGAACCCGAGGAGAGAGAGAGAAAAAAAGAAGCAUUCCUGGUGCUUUUUUUUUUUUUUUUUACUAUAGAAGUGAGACUUCUUUUCCCCCCCGUCCGACCCGUGAGAGAGAAGUAAACUGCUGGUUAUUUGGGUUCAGGUGCUUAAAUAAAAGGGUUUUGACACACGGUAGCCUGGGGUUUGAUCCCAUGAUUCAUUGGGGUUUUUGUAAGACAAUGAGCGGUGCUGCUUGAUACAAGGCUUUUGCAUUAACAGUUAACUAUGCAUGAGUGUAAAACCCUUGUGGUUUCUGAGACCACUAUGAAUAAAGGAUGCAUGCCUUGCAAAAUUUAGCUUAAUAGAGUUACCAAAAUGAAGUGGAGAGUUUUGGUAGUGAACUAUGACUCUAGAGACAGGAGGUGUACAACUUAAGACGAGUUUCGACGUGAUGUGUGCUGUACGGAGAGGCGGCGUAAAAACACACGAACACGGUUCUCAGAAUCAGAGAGCACUUCCUCUCAAGUACUUCUGAUAUAAAAUCACUUUGCUUGCACUGACUUGACCCAGCAAGAUUUCAGUCAACAGAUUUUCAUGGCAAUAGUGCAAAAAUAAUAUAGUGAAAAUCAAUUUUAUAUGAGAAAGUCUUGCUCGGUCAGUUCAAUUAACUGUUCUAAGUGUGCUGGUUUAAGUAUUUUAAUCUUAAUAAAUAUAAAUACAGAAAGUGUUGUCAUUCAAUACAUACUGCUAAUUUCAAGUCAAUAAAGUGCUUUGUUCAUUAUGAAA
This is a non-coding RNA of Pimephales promelas (fathead minnow), 1705 nucleotides long. Lineage: Eukaryota; Metazoa; Chordata; Actinopteri; Cypriniformes; Leuciscidae. The record is from RefSeq and is a predicted model, not a curated record.